Molecule: non-coding RNA, 2010 nt
Organism: Coturnix japonica (Japanese quail)
Lineage: Eukaryota; Metazoa; Chordata; Aves; Galliformes; Phasianidae
Source: RefSeq, a predicted model, not a curated record
GCCCACUCAAAAAUAGCAGCAGUGAGUGAGGAAUGCCAGCAGCCCUUUGCUGCAGCGGGCACUUCCACCAACUUAAUUCCUAACUUGUCAAAGCUAACAUAUCAUUGCUAUCAUAAAUGGAAAUGAUCAUUCAGCAGCAGAGUGUUAAUGACAUGCCAUCACCAGGAGUGCCUUUCCCCGGCAGGAUGGAGGCUCACACACCAGUCAGCCCUGCAGAGUGCACAGAAAUACCUGCUGGGAAUGGGUUUCUAUGCAUGGACUCAUGAGCUGAUGUGCUCUUGCAGGAGAACACGAGCAAACGUUCUGCACUGGGUUCCCAAAGCACAAUCCUGGUGGACAGCUCACCCCUAUCAGUCGGUGGCUGAAAAUACAGCGUAUCUAUUUGCUUGCACCUCUCCUACAUACUGUUACUGUUAAGCACCCGAGAAGAACAGUUGCUUGAGAACAUCAGCAUUGAGCUCCAUCUCAGAAUUGCUCCUCCCAGUCAGCAGGCAGGAGAUGGACCUGCCAGCUGUAACACCAAGAAGGUACCAGAAAUCACAGGUGGUGGCAUCCCCGACCCACUCGUUCUGACAGCUCAGGCUUCGGUGUGCCAGGAGGUGGGGACGCCUGACACGCACCAUGGAUCAGCAGAGCUCAUAGCCAAGGCAAAGCUAAGCUGAGGGCACCGAGACCUGGUCACCAUGCAGAGCACAGAGACACCAAGGGGAAGGUGCUGGGCUGCACCCUGCGUGUUUGGCCAAGAGCCCAUGGGGAUAGAGGGCAGCCCCUGGUGGUCCCACACAGAGAUCAGCGAUGGGAAGAUGGCAGCUUGGUGCUGGGAACAAAACAGAUGGUGUCAGAAUGGGCUUUUUUAUAUUUGAGGACAAAGUGACAUGGGAGGAGCAAGAAGGAGGGACUGAGAGAUCCGAGGGAUCCUGUAGCCUGCGUGAAAAGGGAAGAGGAAGGAAGGAAAAAGGAAGAACCUGCAACCUAUCACUAUUGACUGCUCUAUUUAUAGAGCAUUCCGUAUCUCACCGGCAACCAACUUCAGCAAUAAGGGCGGUACAAAAGGUUUCAUGAGCACAUCUUUGCAUCCCAAGCACAUCACUGAAGGAGCAGCCAGGCAGUGCACCCAAAUAACCUGCACCGCUGCACCUCAUCCAGAUAACGCACAGUGCGGUUCUUCCUGCCCAUCACCCCAUCUCCUGCGCUGCUCAAGCAACAAAUUCACAUGCUUGGAUCUCUCUGCACCAGUUCUCAUUUCUAUUUCUUCUCCCCCAGCAAAACAUUUGGAAGAAAACAGCAUUUCCCUCCACUAAAGCAGAGCUCCCACAGCUGAAUAUUGCCUUCGAUCUGCUGCAAGGCAGGUAUCUGCCCAUGAAGAUGCACAGCAGAACACGUAGGAUUUAUCUGCCAGCAACAAAUCGCUGCAAUCCAGGGAAAAGAAAAAAAAAUGAAAUAAAUAAAAGCAAGCUCUGACAAGAAGCUCACAGUUCUGAAGGACUUUUGCUAGGAUUUGAUGCAAUCUGCCGCGCCGGCAAAUUAAAGCCUACGGAAACCAUGCUAAAAUUAGAGAGAGCUGAGAUGAAAACCAAAGACACACGGUGGCUCUUGCAAAUCCUUAAAUAGGGCUUGGUACAGCAGUCGGGUGCUCAGCUCACGUCUCCCAUGGCCACUGAUGAAGCUGCACAUGGGACAGUCCCCAUUCCACUGCUGUUGCCGUGGAUGGGGCUGACGCAGCCCUGCACCUUAUUGCUGGGCGCUUCACCACCCCCUGCUGCUGCCCCGCACAGCUCUGGGGCCGCCCCACACAGCUGCCAUGCUCCCUACCUCCAUUCUCUGGGUUUUUGGGGAAGCCCCAUGCUCUGCUGUGUGGUGCUGGUACGUCUGAGAGCAGCACAGCUCUGCACAGAUGCGAAUACCUUGGGGGGUACUCACUGCUCAUUAAUCUGAAGCCUUGUGACUUCAACAGCAUGAAAUAUUCCAGGGAUAACCAUAGAAUCAUUGGGGUUGGAAAAGCCCGCAAAG